GAUGAACGCUGGCGGCGUGCCUAAUACAUGCAAGUCGAACGCUUCACUUCGGUGAAGAGUGGCGAACGGGUGAGUAAUACAUAAGUAACCUGGCAUCCACAGGGGGAUAACUGAUGGAAACGUCAGCUAAGACCGCAUAGGUGUAGAGAUCGCAUGAACUCUAUAUGAAAAGUGCUACGGGACUGGUAGAUGAUGGACUUAUGGCGCAUUAGCUUGUUGGUAGGGUAACGGCCUACCAAGGCGACGAUGCGUAGCCGACCUGAGAGGGUGACCGGCCACACUGGGACUGAGACACGGCCCAGACUCCUACGGGAGGCAGCAGUAGGGAAUUUUCGGCAAUGGGGGAAACCCUGACCGAGCAACGCCGCGUGAAGGAAGAAGUAAUUCGUUAUGUAAACUUCUGUCAUAGAGGAAGAACGGUGGAUAUAGGGAAUGAUAUCCAAGUGACGGUACUCUAUAAGAAAGCCACGGCUAACUACGUG
Molecule: ribosomal RNA, 482 nt
Filed under: uncultured bacterium
Lineage: Bacteria
Description: partial 16S ribosomal RNA
Rfam family: Bacterial small subunit ribosomal RNA
Source: RNAcentral